RNAcentral lists this ribosomal RNA (523 nucleotides) under uncultured Glomus. Its description in RNAcentral is "SSU rRNA". It matches the Rfam family "Eukaryotic small subunit ribosomal RNA", at positions 569 to 1092 of the family's 1831-position model. The record is from RNAcentral. Lineage: Eukaryota; Fungi; Glomeromycota; Glomeromycetes; Glomerales; Glomeraceae.
AGCAGCCGCGGUAAUUCCAGCUCCAAUAGCGUAUAUUAAAGUUGUUGCAGUUAAAAAGCUCGUAGUUGAAUUUCGGGGUCAGUAGGCUGGUCGUGCCACGGGUAUGUACUGGUCUUACUGAUUCCUCCUUCCUGAUGAACCGUAAUGCCAUUAAUUUGGUGUUGCGGGGAAUCUGGACUGUUACUUUGAAAAAAUUAGAGUGUUUAAAGCAGGCUAACGCUUGAAUACAUUAGCAUGGAAUAAUGAAAUAGGACGAUCGAUCCUAUUUUGUUGGUUUCUAGGAUUGACGUAAUGAUUAAUAGGGAUAGUUGGGGGCAUUAGUAUUCAAUUGUCAGAGGUGAAAUUCUUGGAUUUAUUGAAGACUAACUACUGCGAAAGCAUUUGCCAAGGAUGUUUUCAUUAAUCAAGAACGAAAGUUAGGGGAUCGAAGACGAUCAGAUACCGUCGUAGUCUUAACCAUAAACUAUGCCGACUAGGGAUCGGAUGAUGUUAAUUUUUUUUAUGACUCAUUCUGCGGCUUACG